AUCCAGCUGACGAGUCUCAAAUAGGACGAAACGUGCGUCCUGGAU
This is a non-coding RNA of Schistosoma haematobium, 45 nucleotides long. NCBI's taxonomy places the organism in Eukaryota, Metazoa, Platyhelminthes, Trematoda, Strigeidida, Schistosomatidae. The record is from Rfam.